GCUUUCGUGGUGUAGUGGUCAGCACACCCGACGCGUAACCAAGAGGUCCGUGGUUCGAUUCCCGGCGAAGGCG
Molecule: non-coding RNA, 73 nt
Organism: Stegodyphus mimosarum
Lineage: Eukaryota; Metazoa; Arthropoda; Arachnida; Araneae; Eresidae
Source: Rfam